This 119-nucleotide ribosomal RNA is filed under the name Pteropus alecto (black flying fox). Lineage: Eukaryota; Metazoa; Chordata; Mammalia; Chiroptera; Pteropodidae. The record is from RNAcentral.
AUCUACGGCCAUGCCACCCCGAACAAGCCCAAUCCCAUCUGAUCUUGGAAGCUAAACAGGGUCGGGCCUGGUUAGUACUUGGAUGGGAGAAUAUCUAGGAAGACUAGGUGCUGUAGGAG